RNAcentral lists this ribosomal RNA (465 nucleotides) under uncultured bacterium. RNAcentral's name for it is "partial 16S ribosomal RNA". It matches the Rfam family "Bacterial small subunit ribosomal RNA", at positions 338 to 795 of the family's 1533-position model. The record is from RNAcentral.
CCUACGGGAGGCAGCAGUGGGGAAUAUUGCGCAAUGGGCGAAAGCCUGACGCAGCGACGCCGCGUGAGGGAUGAAGGUCUUCGGAUCGUAAACCUCUGUCAGCAGGGAAGAACGGUCACUGUGCUAAUCAGCAGUGAAUUGACGGUACCUGCAAAGGAAGCACCGGCUAACUCCGUGCCAGCAGCCGCGGUAAUACGGAGGGUGCGGGCGUUAAUCGGAAUUACUGGGCGUAAAGCGAUCGUAGGCGGUAUGUCAAGUCAAGGGUGAAAGCCCGGCGCUCAACGUGGGAACUGCCUUUGAAACGGGCAAACUGGAGUGUGGGAGAGGAUAGUGGAAUUCCAGGUGUAGGAGUGAAAUCCGUAGAUAUCUGGAGGAACAUCAGUGGCGAAGGCGACUAUCUGGCACAUAACUGACGCUGAGGAGCGAAAGCGUGGGUAGCAAACAGGAUUAGAUACCCCAGUAGUC